CGGGGGAGGCCGGAUCCUGGGCUGUGUCCCGGCGCCCUGUGCUCUGGGCCUGCGCUGUUGGAUUCGCGCUCCCGCCCCGCAGCCCCCU
RNAcentral lists this microRNA precursor (88 nucleotides) under Canis lupus familiaris (dog). Its description in RNAcentral is "mir-8799 microRNA precursor family". It matches the Rfam family "mir-8799 microRNA precursor family". RNAcentral also lists the same sequence under 1 other name. Lineage: Eukaryota; Metazoa; Chordata; Mammalia; Carnivora; Canidae. The record is from Rfam by way of RNAcentral.